This 401-nucleotide ribosomal RNA is filed under the name Candidatus Mycoplasma haematominutum. RNAcentral's name for it is "bacterial SSU rRNA". It matches the Rfam family "Bacterial small subunit ribosomal RNA", at positions 85 to 474 of the family's 1533-position model. The record is from RNAcentral. Lineage: Bacteria; Bacillati; Mycoplasmatota; Mollicutes; Mycoplasmatales; Mycoplasmataceae.
UUACUCUUUUGUGGCGAACGGGCGAGUAACACAUAUUUAACUUACCUGCACGAGGAGAAUAGCAACUCGAAAGAGUUAUUAAUACUCCAUAGGUUUGAGACUCAAAUUAAAGGAGCGAGCUGGGAAACCAGUGCUUCGCGAGCAGAGAGGAGUAUGUCCUAUUAGGUUGUUGGUGGGGUAAAAGCCUACCAAGCCGAUGAUGGGUAGCUGGACUGAGAGGUCGACCAGCCGCAAUGGGAUUGAAAUACGGCCCAUAUUCCUACGGGAAGCAGCAGUGAGGAAUUUUUCACAAUGGACGAAAGUCUGAUGGAGCAAUACCAUGUGAACGAUGAAGGUCUUCUGAUUGUAAAGUUCUUUUAUUUAAGAAAAAAAGCUUGAGAGGAAAUGAUUAAGCCUUGAUU